RNAcentral lists this small RNA (1001 nucleotides) under Pan troglodytes (chimpanzee). RNAcentral's name for it is "retained intron". The record is from RNAcentral. Lineage: Eukaryota; Metazoa; Chordata; Mammalia; Primates; Hominidae.
CUUCUGGGAAUGGAGGUAAUUUAUGGUUCAGUUCUAGAUACUGAAUUUCUGAUUCAUAAGGUGUAUGCCCCGGGAAUUCCACUCACACUGCUGAGUUGUUCUCAACGGUGGCUGUGGCCGGCCACACCUCUGCCAGCAGUGUAUAGGAAUUCCCAAGGCCCACAUCCUUGCCAACAGGCGUUCAUUUCUUAGCUCUGGAAAUAGCUUCUUAAAUCAGGGGUAGAGUGGGGGAAGGCGGGAGAUUAAUUUUUACUCUAAUUAACUAUAUUACAAAUCAUUGAAAAAGUUGGCUAAAUCAGUGUAACUUUAUUUUUCUCCAUGUCCUGACCAUUAGGUAGUUGAAUUCAGUGAAUUGGACAAACCCAGAGUCCAUUUUUUACGAAAAGUAUUAAGUAUCCUAUUAAUGGAAACGGAAGUUGAAGACCUCAGUUUAAUUUUCACAAGAGUAUCUGACAACCCAAAGCUGGGGAUGUUACGUGAGGGUUUGAAGCUUUUCAUCAGCCACUUCUUGCUAAAGAAUGCACAGGCCCACAGAAGCGCCGACGAAGCCAACGUGCUGAGAGAGAAAGCUGACCUUGCAACGAAGUGUCUGCAAGGAAAAGCUUCCCUGAGAAUGUAGUCAGGGAAGGAAGGAGGGCAGGUGGCCCUUUGACUGUAAAAUAUCCUUUGUAAACCCAAAGGCUUAUUCUGUUGCCUGCGUGUGAAUGUUUGGUAGAGCUAUAUCAUUGUCUGUUAAUGUAUUAUAUUUUGAGAUUUUUUUUGAUCUAAGGUUUUAUUGUUUGUAUUUCAAGCCAUUUUCAAAUAACUGUAUCUUGGGGGUGAGAGGAGAAGGAGGGAGGGAAAAAGGGUCAGGCACACUGGACAGGGUUCUCUAAGCAGUGAGGCUGGUGUGUAUGAUUGUCUUAAAAUUUUUUAAUAGAUAUGGCCGAGCGUGAUGGCUCACCCCUGUAAUCCCAGCACUUCGUGAGGCCAAGGUGGGCAGAUCACUUGAGGCCAGGAAU